This is a non-coding RNA of Kogia breviceps (pygmy sperm whale), 1629 nucleotides long. NCBI's taxonomy places the organism in Eukaryota, Metazoa, Chordata, Mammalia, Artiodactyla, Physeteridae. The record is from RefSeq and is a predicted model, not a curated record.
GAGUUAACAUAUGAAACAAUUAGAAGGUUUUUGGCCAACUGAGACCCACCCAUUUCACCCGGCUCCUUCCAAGCACUCUAUUAAAAUAACAGCGAAGGAGAAAGGCAUAAACCACCACGACCAACAUCAACAAAGACAGGAGAGGUGGGGAGAGCAGUAGAAAACAAAUUUUUGAAACAGGAAAAGCAGGAGGAGGACCAGAGGCAGAGGAAGCUGGACAGAAGAGACUACAGGGCUACAUGGAGAAGGAAGCCAAUUGGUCUUAUGGAACCUGAGAGCCUUGUGACCUGGAAACACCAACUAUAGCAAUGGGUGAGAGUGAGACACAGAACUGAAUAAAGGGCAACUGUCUGGAAACUUGUAUGUGAGACCCUCCGACCCUGAGCCCAGAAGGUCCUGGCAUGUCUUGGCAAGGAAAAACGUCUCCUGAGCUAUUACGUUGAAACAAACAUGGAGUGUGAGCAGAGAAGGGGCUUCUGAAGGUGUCUUGAGUAUUAUAAGGAGAAACAAUCUAAGGCCUUACUAAAUUCCUGCUUUGGCUCGGUCAUUAUCUUCUAGAAUAUCUGCUGUAGAAGAACAAAAUUUGUCACCCCCAGAUUAUUUCAAGCUGAAAACAAUCAAGGCCCAAAAGACUCAGGAAGAAACUUUGAUCUUCUCCCUAACAGCCUGAAGAAUUUAGAUAGAGGGUAUAUUACAGGAACAUCACCAGAUAAUAAAUAUGGACUAGCUGUGGUGGGGAAAUGCUUAGAGACCAGAGUCCACUCUGUGUCCCACGGUCUCUGCUAACCCAGCAAACAUUUGUUUACCAAAUUUUUGCUUUUCCACCUCCAUGUGAACUGCCUUCUACACCUUGAAGUCUUACCCCUAACAUCCUCUUCUGUCUUUAGCUGAAGAUGGUGUUUAAGGUGAGUAACCAUGGCCACCAUUCUGGUCAUUUUGGUGAGUUAGUCUGCUGGGUCUCUUCCAUGUAUACAUGUUAUUAAACUUUUGAUUUUUCUCCUGUUAAUCUGUCUCAUGUCAGUUUAAUUCUGAGACCAGCCAGAAGAACCUAGAGGGAAGAGGAAAAUUUCUUUCUCCCCUACACUAACCAGGAAGCAGGAGAAAGAUGGAGGUGAAAUGAGCGGCUAUAAUUUCAUAACUUUGGACAUCAGGAAAAGACUAUAGAGCCUUUUCAGAACAGGAAAAGAUAUUUCAAUUGAAGUAUAGGAAAAUAUUCCUAAAGACCAUUAAUAAGAAUAGAAGAUGUGAAAACAGAGAGCCCCUAAAUCCAGGACUGAAAUGUUGAUGGGCAAGAAGAGUCAAAGGAUUUCACACAUUCCAGAGUCAGUGUGUUUGGCCUGACUUCCUGGAUCUGGUGUUUCGUAUAUGCUUUGUCUCUUUUCCACCAACUCUAAAUGUUCUUACAAAUAAAAAAUGAUCAGUGGGAAUAGCCAUUAAUAUCCUUCAGAGGAAAUCCUUAAAAAUCAAUAAAAAACACUGUCAGGGUAGUUCUCCCAGAGCUAUAAUUCUGUGCUUAAAAUUUAAAAGCUUUGUUAUACUCCGAUGCUAUGGUAAAACUCUAAUAGAAAAUUUUUCUUAGAGCAUCCAUUACUUCACGCCUCCCUAUUCUGUAAACAGUAGAGGCAGAGU